AUACGGAGGAUCCGAGCGUUAUCCGGAUUUAUUGGGUUUAAAGGGAGCGUAGGUGGGAUAUUAAGUCAGCUGUGAAAGUUUGGGGCUCAACCUUAAAAUUGCAGUUGAUACUGGUUUCCUUGAGUACGGUAUAGGUGGGCGGAAUUCGUGGUGUAGCGGUGAAAUGCUUAGAUAUCACGAAGAACUCCGAUCGCGAAGGCAGCUCACCGGGCCGGAACUGACACUGAUGCUCGAAAGUGCGGGUAUCAAACAGGAUUAGAUACCCUGGUAGUCCGCACAGUAAACGAUGAAUACUCGCUGUUUGCGAUACACUGUAAGCGGCCAAGCGAAAGCGUUGAGUAUUCCACCUGGGGAGUACGCCAGCAACGGUGAAACUCAAAGGAAUUGACGGGG
This 393-nucleotide ribosomal RNA is filed under the name uncultured bacterium. RNAcentral's name for it is "partial 16S ribosomal RNA". It matches the Rfam family "Bacterial small subunit ribosomal RNA", at positions 523 to 918 of the family's 1533-position model. The record is from RNAcentral.